UACGGUGAAUACGUUCCCGGACCUUGUACACACCGCCCGUCAAGCCAUGGAAGCCGGGUGUACCUAAAGUCGGUAACCGCAAGGAGCUGCCUAGGGUAAAACUGGUAACUGGGCU
Molecule: ribosomal RNA, 115 nt
Filed under: uncultured bacterium
Lineage: Bacteria
Description: partial 16S ribosomal RNA
Rfam family: Bacterial small subunit ribosomal RNA
Source: RNAcentral